CAAAUCUCCCGGAUACUAUGACGGACGAUACUGGGUUAUGUGGAAGCUUCCCAUGUUCGGGUGCACCGACUCAUCGCAGGUGUUGAAGGAGCUUGAUGAGUGCGUCAAGGAGUACCCCCAGGCGUACGUCCGUAUCAUCGGAUUCGACAACGUUCGCCAAGUCCAGUGCAUCAGUUUCAUUGCUCACCAGCCAGAAUGCUGAUCAAUCUGUCUGUUGAUUUCAUAUAUUUAUCAAUCUUGUUCGGCUCAUAUAUAAACUUCUUGCAAUCUCAUUUCAUUUCUUUCCGUUUUAAAUUUCUUACUUGUAUCUCCAACACAAGGAAAUUGGAACUAUAGAGGAUUAUAUGUAGCGAUUGUUGGUGAUUAUAUAUAUCUACUUGUUUGUUUUCCCUGCACCUUCUAAAUACUUGCAUCAUAUGCUUUCAUGUCGUGAUGUACUUUUUUAUAUAUCUCCGAUUCUCCAUGCAGUAAUUAACCACUACGGUCUUUUUACACCAACAAAUUAUAUGAUAACAUAUAGAAACAGUUCAUUGCUUCCGUAAUAUCUGCCUUGGUACAUGUUCUCUUGUAUCACUACAAAACCUUUCACGUCCAACAAUGUGAAAGCAAAUUCUCUGUAAUAGAAAUGGACAUCUGCUAGCGACAUUUCAGAUAAUAAUAAAGUGUACUUAUGCACCAUCUGGUUGGAAGGAAUGAACGGGAAAAACAUGAACAAAAUCAAAGGUAAACGAGAAGUAUACAAGAGUGAAGAGUGAUGAAGAACUAGAAAGUGCAGACUUUAUUAUGAGUUUCACAAUAUAAUGAGUAAAAUAUAGGAAUGAUCAUUUAUCCCUAUAUUGGUAAGAUUGAGAUAUUAGUUUUUUUUUGUGUGCCAAACUAGUACAAAUUUCAUUUCAUUCUCCCUAAACGUAAUUCUUCCAACAAAAUGGGGCAUUACAUAAAGGUAUAAAGAUGAGGAGAUUAAAGAUUGACAGCUGCGAUAAGGGAAGGUAUGGAAAACAUGUGUAACUAUAUAAAUGUCGAACACCAAUAAGAUCCAAAUAACUCAGAUAACAUCCAAACUCAGUAACAAAUUGGUUAACAGAUAAAAUUCAGAAGCGAAUGCAAAAUAGUUUAUAAAAUUAGAUUCUAAGAUUCAAAAUUUCUAGUAUUCAGAUUAUAUGCAGAUGAAAGAGGAAGGGAGAUUUAUUGAAUAAUUUAGGCUUGACAAAACACAAUAAAAUGAUACACAUAGACUAGUAUACUCUAAUACUUAAUGAGCAGCAUAUAUUCUUAUUCUUAACUACCGUCUAUUCUAUUAUAUCAAAGAAACAUAAAUUAUUGCAAAGCUGUAAAUUCACAUUAAGAAGCUUAAACAAAUUACACAACUAGAAAUCAACCACUCAAAUUGGAUAUAAUUGGAUAAAUAUCUAAAGAGAUCAUAACUAAGAACCCUAAUUUCAAAGUUAUAAAUGUAUGUAUAUAAAUGAUUCAAAAAUCAGAACUCUGUAACACAAAAAAGCUAGCUGAACUGAGAUGAAGUAGAAAGCAGCAACAAAACAUUUAUGAAUUAAAUAUCUAAAGCUGAUCUAAUUACAAACAUCAACUCACAGUUAUCAAGAGGGGUGUAUUGGAUUGGGAUUUUAAAUCAUUUUUUUGCAUUCAUGAAAUCCGAGGGUAUUCGAUUGAGAUUAUUUGAAAUGCAUUAAAAUCUUGGGGUAUUCAAUUGGGAUUUUGAAUUAUGCUACAAAAUCUGGUGGUAUUCAAUUGGGAUUUUAAAUUAUGCUUUAAAAUCCGGUGGUAUUCAAUUCGGAUUGUUUAAAAUCCAUUAAAAUCUGAUGGUAUUCAAAUGUUGUCGGAUUUUUUUUCAUUUCAUAAAAUGGUGGAUUUUGUGGCAUUGUUCGAUGUAUUUUAAGUUUUAUGAAAUCCCACCAAAAUCAAUGGGAUUUUGAAGCAUUGUGCUUAAAUCCUAUCAACUCUGCGACAUUUCAUCAAGAAUCCGCACAAAAUCAAAAUCACAUGCAAUCCAUUAAAAUCCAUAGACUAAAAACAAUCCAUUAAAAUCUCAAUCGAAUACACCCCCGCAAUUUAUUAAUCAGAUGAGAGGAAGGAAGGGAGAGGGUCAGAGGGAGAGGGAGAGGGAGAGAGAGAGAGAGAGAGGAGUUACAGUGCUACGGCGACGUUCAGCGGCGAUGGAGAAGCCAAAAGCGACCAAGCAUAGUAUUAUUACAAGAAGAUGAACGAGAGAUGAGCCUUUCCCUGCCCCCAUUAUUGUUUCUAAGGGCAUCUUUGAUCACAAUUUCAAGCUUCAUAUUUUUUUCACUUUUAAUUUUAUAGAUAGAUUAAUCAAUCUCCAAUCAUCCAUUUAUCUUCCUAUGUAAAGUCAUUUACUAGAUAAAUUAUAUUAUUUUAUAAAAAAAAAUUAAAUAACGAAAUAUAUGAUCUUUCUCGGAUGAAGAUAACUUGCAAAUUUAAUGGUAUAGUUUAGAAAUUGGGGUUGAGAAGUACCAGUAGUUAUGCUAUAUUUACCUGAUGAUCUCGUAUCGUAACUUUUUUUACACGUGGGAUUUUUUUGCUUACAGCUCAUACUCUAUAACACACUUCCGCCAUUUCACAUGUGACUUCAUCUUUUGACCAGGGUUCUGUAAAUAGAAUUUUGAGCAAGAUCCCCUUAAUACAUAACUGAAUAAACAACACUCGUAGAGAUGAAUUCUGCUGGCGGAACUAGGGAAGAAACCCUAGCUUAGUCAAAGUUUUUUUUUUCUUCCAGAUAUUUGUUUUUUUUCAGAUAUUUUUUUAUUUGAGCUCUUAAAAAUAACAGUGAACCAAUAAAAAGUAUUUAUUGUGCAAAUUUUAAUUCUAGAUUAUUUUGAUUCAUGUCAUAUUGUCAUUGACUAACAGGCCAAAGUCAUUUUGUUAAUGGGCUCUAUUUUCUUGACCAAAAUCAUACUGUUUCCCCUACUAUUAUCCUGAGCCCAUGUUUUCAAAUUUCAAUUACGCCCAACCACCAGUCCAGAGUAGUUGUUGUUGGGCCACAAGGUAACCAUCCAAUGUCUAAACUAAUCAUAGUCCAAAUAAAAUUUUUUCAUAAAAACUGCGUGUACGUGAAUCCAGGGCAGAGGACUGAACAUGACUCCACUUGAGUUGAGCAAGAAAACCGCAAUCAUAUAUCUUUGAUUUUUAAAAUUGAAAACCGCAACCGUCAAUCGGGGUCGGUUUCGGUUUCGGUUUAAGAAACUUCGAUUCGGUUAAUAGUCGGCUCGGUUUCGAUUACAAAAUCGACAAAUAUAAGAAUGAAAAAUAGUACACAAACGAGACAAAUUAAUGCACGUAAUCUAGACAUAAUAAUUAAUAUAAUAUUAAAAUUUAACAAAAGUAACCGUAUUUUAUUUAAAACACUCUUGCCAGUAAUAUAAAACUAGUCUUAGUCAGAAUUUUCAUACAGAAUACGAAUCAGAACUUCCGGCUGAUUGGCUUUUUUAACACAUGCUUCAUGAAGAUUGAGAAAAUGUGACAGGGAAAAUAGGAAAUACAGAUUGGCAGUGGCCAGUCAGCAUGAGAUAUUCACUGAACAUCAAAUAUUAACAUAGACGGAUGUUUCUGUAAGUGUUAGAAUAGAUUUAUUAUAUUUAUUACAUAUUACAUAUAUUAUUUAUUAUUAUUUUAAUAACCGGUUCCGUUUGGUUUUUAUUGGUUCGGUUGGGAGGUAUAACCGGAACCAAACCGUUUAAAUCAGAUCAAUUUUUAAUUUUUCGGUUUCUAAUUGGUUUUUUUGAGUUUUUCCAAAUUUCGAUUCGUUUUGAUUUUAAAUCGGUUUUUUGCUAAGUCCUAAAUUAAGGUAUGGGUUCAAUUAUAGACAAGGUUAAGCUUACUUUUUAAAAAGUCUAACAUCACAAGUAAAUGGUUCACAAGUAAAUGGUCUUAAAACUAUAAAGAAACCAGGAUUGAAGCUCAAAAAUUAUCACCACUACACCCUUUUUUCGUGGUGCAACAAAUUUGGCCUAAAUCAAACGCAAAUCAAACGCAUUUAUACAAGACAAAUGACAGUCUUAAUAUAGGAUUACCCCAUUUUGGUUCAACCAUGAACACUGUUUGAACUAUGCGAUAGUUUCUUUACUAAAAUAUACUUCAGACUCUGGAACUGGAAGGACUAUGGGCCACUUAAAUGCAGCAUAUAUCUUGCAAUUUGAGCUCGAUAAUGGCAAAUUCCAAAUGCAAUCUAUCCACACAUUACACUCAAGUGCGAAAGAAUGAUCCAUGUAUUUUAAGGGUUUUGGUUCCUGGCAUGUGUACAUCAGGGAGUACUUAUAUAACAUACUGAUUUUGGAUCGUUGGAUGAUAUAUGCAUCUAACGGACAUAAUUAUAAAAAAAAUUCGUCAUGCUCAAUUUUUUUUUAUUUGUUUUUUUGCAUAUGAUAUGUAACUUGAAUAAUAAGAGGAAGGGGGAAAGUGAUGCAACUGCAAUUGAAGAAGUCAGUAGUCACUUAUUUAAAUUUCAAAGUACAAAGCCCAAAUAAGCAAUUUCCAAAGAGCUAAGCAAUGAAGGGCCAAGAAAUGGCUAGCUACUGCUAAAGAAAGCAAGUCCUCAUUCCUUGAUCAGAAGAGAUAAGGCAACCGCUCUCAUGCCACGUGUCAACUCAAUAAGAGUGUUUAAUGAUAAGGCAACCAAUCCAAAUUGCUCACACUGUGUGGCUACCAUGUUGCCUUGUCAACUUCACUGUAAUUCAAUGGUCAGAAAAAUUCUGAACUUUAGGAGGUGAAUUGGGAACCAUUGGAUCAGCAGGUUAAACGAUAAUGAGAUGAAAUGCCUAUAUAUUGGAUAGGUGAAGGAACAGAAGCAAGCCUCUCAAACACAAGAGAAGAAAGUAAAAGAACAAGAAGAGAGUAUUAGUACUCAUGGCUUCUUCAAUGAUAUCAUCAGUAGCACCGGUUACCCGUGCAUCCCCUGCUCAGGCUAACAUGGUCGCGCCUUUCACCGGCCUCAAGUCCAUCGCAUCAUUCCCCGUCACCCGAAAGCUUGAGAAUGACAUUACCUCUAUUACCAGCAACGGAGGAAGAGUUCAAUGCAUGAAGGUAUAUAUCUAUACUACUUAAUACUCAGAUAUAUUAUGUGCUAAUGAGGAACCAGUAUAACAUGGCAGAACAUUUCUUAGUUAGUUAUUGCUCAUUUGCUCUCAAAGUAGCACAAUUCUAAGUCAGAUAAAGCAGUCCUAGGUAACUUUAGAGUGAGUAACUUCAGAAUUUUCCUUGAAUAUGUCAAUAAUAUACAAAAAUUAUGUCAACACCUCGAUUAAAAGAUUGUUUUGCUUGUAUUUUCCUCCUGAGCUGAUCUGAGAAAUUUUGUUCUCAAGUCAAACAAUUAGAGACUUUAGCUCAAGAGAAAUGUCACCCCCUGGCAUUGUAGCCUGCGGGAUGUCCUCUAUAUUUUACCAUAGUAACCAUGUCGCCCCUCAAGUGAAGUAGAAUUUAAUUCAAUAAUGAAAUUGAACUACCCAGUAGAGGAAAUUUCUAGUUUUUUUGUAUAAUUUCCACCUUAGCUUGCUCUUAGUAACCCCCCUCAGUCUCAUUAAAUAGUCGGAAAUGUAUAUUCUUAUGAAGACAUGAUCACGUUCUUCAAAUUUUGCAAUCCAACACUGUUUCUAGACAAAUAUACAAUCUGUCGGUUUGUAAUUGAGUAAAUAUGACAUUCACAAAAUAUAUCAAGGAGAACACACCUUGGUUCUGAAAGUGAAUGAUAAAUUAGUUAGGUAACAUAUGUGAAUGGUGCAAGUGCAGGUAUGGCCACCAAUUAACAUGAAGAAGUUCGAGACACUCUCAUACCUUCCUCCUCUCACCACCGAACAAUUGGCAAAGGAGGUCGACUACCUUCUCCGUUCCGGAUGGGUUCCUCGUCUGGAAUUCGAGUUGGAGGUAAGCACUUUCUUCCUACAUAUUUUUCAUGUUCUCUGUUACAUGUUUCUUGACAUUGCUGAUGACAAUUGUGUGUUAAACCAAUAUGCAGCACGGUUUCGUGUACCGUGAGCACAACAAAUCUCCCGGAUACUAUGACGGACGAUACUGGGUUAUGUGGAAGCUUCCCAUGUUCGGGUGCACCGACUCAUCGCAGGUGUUGAAGGAGCUUGAUGAGUGCGUCAAGGAGUACCCCCAGGCGUACGUCCGUAUCAUCGGAUUCGACAACGUUCGCCAAGUCCAGUGCAUCAGUUUCAUUGCUCACCAGCCAGAAUGCUGAUCAAUCUGUCUGUUGAUUUCAUAUAUUUAUCAAUCUUGUUCGGCUCAUAUAUAAACUUCUUGCAAUCUCAUUUCAUUUCUUUCCGUUUUAAAUUUCUUACUUGUAUCUCCAACACAAGGAAAUUGGAACUAUAGAGGAUUAUAUGUAGCGAUUGUUGGUGAUUAUAUAUAUCUACUUGUUUGUUUUCCCUGCACCUUCUAAAUACUUGCAUCAUAUGCUUUCAUGUCGUGAUGUACUUUUUUAUAUAUCUCCGAUUCUCCAUGCAGUAAUUAACCACUACGGUCUUUUUACACCAACAAAUUAUAUGAUAACAUAUAGAAACAGUUCAUUGCUUCCGUAAUAUCUGCCUUGGUACAUGUUCUCUUGUAUCACUACAAAACCUUUCACGUCCAACAAUGUGAAAGCAAAUUCUCUGUAAUAGAAAUGGACAUCUGCUAGCGACAUUUCAGAUAAUAAUAAAGUGUACUUAUGCACCAUCUGGUUGGAAGGAAUGAACGGGAAAAACAUGAACAAAAUCAAAGGUAAACGAGAAGUAUACAAGAGUGAAGAGUGAUGAAGAACUAGAAAGUGCAGACUUUAUUAUGAGUUUCACAAUAUAAUGAGUAAAAUAUAGGAAUGAUCAUUUAUCCCUAUAUUGGUAAGAUUGAGAUAUUAGUUUUUUUUUGUGUGCCAAACUAGUACAAAUUUCAUUUCAUUCUCCCUAAACGUAAUUCUUCCAACAAAAUGGGGCAUUACAUAAAGGUAUAAAGAUGAGGAGAUUAAAGAUUGACAGCUGCGAUAAGGGAAGGUAUGGAAAACAUGUGUAACUAUAUAAAUGUCGAACACCAAUAAGAUCCAAAUAACUCAGAUAACAUCCAAACUCAGUAACAAAUUGGUUAACAGAUAAAAUUCAGAAGCGAAUGCAAAAUAGUUUAUAAAAUUAGAUUCUAAGAUUCAAAAUUUCUAGUAUUCAGAUUAUAUGCAGAUGAAAGAGGAAGGGAGAUUUAUUGAAUAAUUUAGGCUUGACAAAACACAAUAAAAUGAUACACAUAGACUAGUAUACUCUAAUACUUAAUGAGCAGCAUAUAUUCUUAUUCUUAACUACCGUCUAUUCUAUUAUAUCAAAGAAACAUAAAUUAUUGCAAAGCUGUAAAUUCACAUUAAGAAGCUUAAACAAAUUACACAACUAGAAAUCAACCACUCAAAUUGGAUAUAAUUGGAUAAAUAUCUAAAGAGAUCAUAACUAAGAACCCUAAUUUCAAAGUUAUAAAUGUAUGUAUAUAAAUGAUUCAAAAAUCAGAACUCUGUAACACAAAAAAGCUAGCUGAACUGAGAUGAAGUAGAAAGCAGCAACAAAACAUUUAUGAAUUAAAUAUCUAAAGCUGAUCUAAUUACAAACAUCAACUCACAGUUAUCAAGAGGGGUGUAUUGGAUUGGGAUUUUAAAUCAUUUUUUUGCAUUCAUGAAAUCCGAGGGUAUUCGAUUGAGAUUAUUUGAAAUGCAUUAAAAUCUUGGGGUAUUCAAUUGGGAUUUUGAAUUAUGCUACAAAAUCUGGUGGUAUUCAAUUGGGAUUUUAAAUUAUGCUUUAAAAUCCGGUGGUAUUCAAUUCGGAUUGUUUAAAAUCCAUUAAAAUCUGAUGGUAUUCAAAUGUUGUCGGAUUUUUUUUCAUUUCAUAAAAUGGUGGAUUUUGUGGCAUUGUUCGAUGUAUUUUAAGUUUUAUGAAAUCCCACCAAAAUCAAUGGGAUUUUGAAGCAUUGUGCUUAAAUCCUAUCAACUCUGCGACAUUUCAUCAAGAAUCCGCACAAAAUCAAAAACACAUGCAAUCCAUUAAAAUCCAUAGACUAAAAACAAUCCAUUAAAAUCUCAAUCGAAUACACCCCCGCAAUUUAUUAAUCAGAUGAGAGGAAGGAAGGGAGAGGGUCAGAGGGAGAGGGAGAGGGAGAGAGAGAGAGAGAGAGGAGUUACAGUGCUACGGCGACGUUCAGCGGCGAUGGAGAAGCCAAAAGCGACCAAGCAUAGUAUUAUUACAAGAAGAUGAACGAGAGAUGAGCCUUUCCCUGCCCCCAUUAUUGUUUCUAAGGGCAUCUUUGAUCACAAUUUCAAGCUUCAUAUUUUUUUCACUUUUAAUUUUAUAGAUAGAUUAAUCAAUCUCCAAUCAUCCAUUUAUCUUCCUAUGUAAAGUCAUUUACUAGAUAAAUUAUAUUAUUUUAUAAAAAAAAAUUAAAUAACGAAAUAUAUGAUCUUUCUCGGAUGAAGAUAACUUGCAAAUUUAAUGGUAUAGUUUAGAAAUUGGGGUUGAGAAGUACCAGUAGUUAUGCUAUAUUUACCUGAUGAUCUCGUAUCGUAACUUUUUUUACACGUGGGAUUUUUUUGCUUACAGCUCAUACUCUAUAACACACUUCCGCCAUUUCACAUGUGACUUCAUCUUUUGACCAGGGUUCUGUAAAUAGAAUUUUGAGCAAGAUCCCCUUAAUACAUAACUGAAUAAACAACACUCGUAGAGAUGAAUUCUGCUGGCGGAACUAGGGAAGAAACCCUAGCUUAGUCAAAGUUUUUUUUUUCUUCCAGAUAUUUGUUUUUUUUCAGAUAUUUUUUUAUUUGAGCUCUUAAAAAUAACAGUGAACCAAUAAAAAGUAUUUAUUGUGCAAAUUUUAAUUCUAGAUUAUUUUGAUUCAUGUCAUAUUGUCAUUGACUAACAGGCCAAAGUCAUUUUGUUAAUGGGCUCUAUUUUCUUGACCAAAAUCAUACUGUUUCCCCUACUAUUAUCCUGAGCCCAUGUUUUCAAAUUUCAAUUACGCCCAACCACCAGUCCAGAGUAGUUGUUGUUGGGCCACAAGGUAACCAUCCAAUGUCUAAACUAAUCAUAGUCCAAAUAAAAUUUUUUCAUAAAAACUGCGUGUACGUGAAUCCAGGGCAGAGGACUGAACAUGACUCCACUUGAGUUGAGCAAGAAAACCGCAAUCAUAUAUCUUUGAUUUUUAAAAUUGAAAACCGCAACCGUCAAUCGGGGUCGGUUUCGGUUUCGGUUUAAGAAACUUCGAUUCGGUUAAUAGUCGGCUCGGUUUCGAUUACAAAAUCGACAAAUAUAAGAAUGAAAAAUAGUACACAAACGAGACAAAUUAAUGCACGUAAUCUAGACAUAAUAAUUAAUAUAAUAUUAAAAUUUAACAAAAGUAACCGUAUUUUAUUUAAAACACUCUUGCCAGUAAUAUAAAACUAGUCUUAGUCAGAAUUUUCAUACAGAAUACGAAUCAGAACUUCCGGCUGAUUGGCUUUUUUAACACAUGCUUCAUGAAGAUUGAGAAAAUGUGACAGGGAAAAUAGGAAAUACAGAUUGGCAGUGGCCAGUCAGCAUGAGAUAUUCACUGAACAUCAAAUAUUAACAUAGACGGAUGUUUCUGUAAGUGUUAGAAUAGAUUUAUUAUAUUUAUUACAUAUUACAUAUAUUAUUUAUUAUUAUUUUAAUAACCGGUUCCGUUUGGUUUUUAUUGGUUCGGUUGGGAGGUAUAACCGGAACCAAACCGUUUAAAUCAGAUCAAUUUUUAAUUUUUCGGUUUCUAAUUGGUUUUUUUGAGUUUUUCCAAAUUUCGAUUCGUUUUGAUUUUAAAUCGGUUUUUUGCUAAGUCCUAAAUUAAGGUAUGGGUUCAAUUAUAGACAAGGUUAAGCUUACUUUUUAAAAAGUCUAACAUCACAAGUAAAUGGUUCACAAGUAAAUGGUCUUAAAACUAUAAAGAAACCAGGAUUGAAGCUCAAAAAUUAUCACCACUACACCCUUUUUUCGUGGUGCAACAAAUUUGGCCUAAAUCAAACGCAAAUCAAACGCAUUUAUACAAGACAAAUGACAGUCUUAAUAUAGGAUUACCCCAUUUUGGUUCAACCAUGAACACUGUUUGAACUAUGCGAUAGUUUCUUUACUAAAAUAUACUUCAGACUCUGGAACUGGAAGGACUAUGGGCCACUUAAAUGCAGCAUAUAUCUUGCAAUUUGAGCUCGAUAAUGGCAAAUUCCAAAUGCAAUCUAUCCACACAUUACACUCAAGUGCGAAAGAAUGAUCCAUGUAUUUUAAGGGUUUUGGUUCCUGGCAUGUGUACAUCAGGGAGUACUUAUAUAACAUACUGAUUUUGGAUCGUUGGAUGAUAUAUGCAUCUAACGGACAUAAUUAUAAAAAAAAUUCGUCAUGCUCAAUUUUUUUUUAUUUGUUUUUUUGCAUAUGAUAUGUAACUUGAAUAAUAAGAGGAAGGGGGAAAGUGAUGCAACUGCAAUUGAAGAAGUCAGUAGUCACUUAUUUAAAUUUCAAAGUACAAAGCCCAAAUAAGCAAUUUCCAAAGAGCUAAGCAAUGAAGGGCCAAGAAAUGGCUAGCUACUGCUAAAGAAAGCAAGUCCUCAUUCCUUGAUCAGAAGAGAUAAGGCAACCGCUCUCAUGCCACGUGUCAACUCAAUAAGAGUGUUUAAUGAUAAGGCAACCAAUCCAAAUUGCUCACACUGUGUGGCUACCAUGUUGCCUUGUCAACUUCACUGUAAUUCAAUGGUCAGAAAAAUUCUGAACUUUAGGAGGUGAAUUGGGAACCAUUGGAUCAGCAGGUUAAACGAUAAUGAGAUGAAAUGCCUAUAUAUUGGAUAGGUGAAGGAACAGAAGCAAGCCUCUCAAACACAAGAGAAGAAAGUAAAAGAACAAGAAGAGAGUAUUAGUACUCAUGGCUUCUUCAAUGAUAUCAUCAGUAGCACCGGUUACCCGUGCAUCCCCUGCUCAGGCUAACAUGGUCGCGCCUUUCACCGGCCUCAAGUCCAUCGCAUCAUUCCCCGUCACCCGAAAGCUUGAGAAUGACAUUACCUCUAUUACCAGCAACGGAGGAAGAGUUCAAUGCAUGAAGGUAUAUAUCUAUACUACUUAAUACUCAGAUAUAUUAUGUGCUAAUGAGGAACCAGUAUAACAUGGCAGAACAUUUCUUAGUGAGUUAUUGCUUUCAAAGUAGCACAAUUUUAAGUCAGAUAAAGUAGUCCUAGGUAACUUUAGAGUGAGCAUAACUUUGGAAUUUUCCUUGAAUAUGUAAAUAAUUUACAAAUAUUAUGUCAACACUUCAAAUAAAAGAUGGUUUUGCUUGUAUUUUCCUCCCGAUCUGAUCUGAGAAAUUUUGUUGUCAAGUCAAACAAUUAGAUACUUUAGCUCAAGAGAAAUGUCACUCCCUGGCAAUCCUGGGGGAUAACUUCUAUAUUUUACCAUAGUAACAGGAGUUUGAGAGUCCAAGAUUCGCAGAAAACAUGUGUGUGUCAAUGUGUGAAAGCCUAAUCAUGUCGCCCCUCAAGUGAAGUAGAUUUUAAUUCAAAAUAGAGAUGUGUGAGAACCUAAUCAUGUCCAAGUUUUUUGUAUGAUUUUCACCUUAGCUUGCUCUCAGUAACCCCUCUCUUAGUCUCAUUAAACAGUGACUCUGAAAUGUAUAUUCUUUUAAAGACAUGAUCACGUUCUUCAAAUUUUGCAAUCCAACACUUUUUGUCAAAAAAUAUACUACAAUCUGUCGGUUUCUAAUCGAGUAAAUAUGACAUUCACAAAGUAUAUCACUGAGAACACACCAUGGUGUGAGAGUGAAUAAGAAAUUAGUUAGCUAACAUAUGUGAAUGGUGCAAGCGCAGGUAUGGCCACCAAUUAACAUGAAGAAGUUCGAGACACUCUCGUACCUUCCUCCUCUCACCACCGAACAAUUGGCAAAGGAGGUCGACUACCUUCUCCGUUCCGGAUGGGUUCCUUGUCUGGAAUUCGAGUUGGAGGUAACCACUUUCUUCCUACACAUUUUUCAUGUUCUCUGUUACAUGUUUCUUGACAUUGCUGAUGACAAUUGUGUGUUAAACCAAAAUGUAGCACGGUUUCGUGUACCGUGAGCACAACAAAUCCCCCGGAUACUAUG
Molecule: long non-coding RNA, 12087 nt
Filed under: Daucus carota (carrot)
Lineage: Eukaryota; Viridiplantae; Streptophyta; Magnoliopsida; Apiales; Apiaceae
Description: long non-coding RNA (DCAR_LNC001441)
Source: RNAcentral